This 707-nucleotide ribosomal RNA is filed under the name uncultured Enterobacteriaceae bacterium. RNAcentral describes it as "bacterial SSU rRNA". It matches the Rfam family "Bacterial small subunit ribosomal RNA", at positions 794 to 1502 of the family's 1533-position model. Lineage: Bacteria; Pseudomonadati; Pseudomonadota; Gammaproteobacteria; Enterobacterales; Enterobacteriaceae. The record is from RNAcentral.
GUCACGCUGUAAACGAUGUCGAUUUGGAGUUUGGGGGCAUGACCCUUGGGCUCCGGAGCUAACGCGUUAAAUCGACGCUGGGGAGUACGGCCGCAAGGUUAAAACUCAAAUGAAUUAACGGGGGCCCGCACAAGCGGUGGAGCAUGUGGUUUAAUUCGAUGCAACGCGAAGAACCUUACCUGGUCUUGACAUCCAUAGAAUCUUUCAGAGAUGAGAGAGUGCCUUCGGGAGCUAUGAGACAGGUGCUGCAUGGCUGUCGUCAGCUCGUGUUGUGAAAUGUUGGGUUAAGUCCCGCAACGAGCGCAACCCCUAUCCUUUGUUGCCAGCACGUAGUGGUGGGAACUCAAAGGAGACUGCCGUUGAUAAAGCGGAGGAAGGUGGGGACGACGUCAAGUCAUCAUGGCCCUUACGACCAGGGCUACACACGUGCUACAAUGGCGUAUACAGAGGGAUGCGAAGGUGCGAACUGGAGCGGACCUCACAAAGUACGUCUAAGUCCGGAUUGGAGUCUGCAACUCGACUCCAUGAAGUCGGAAUCGCUAGUAAUCGUGAAUCAGAAUGUCACGGUGAAUACGUUCCCGGGCCUUGUACACACCGCCCGUCACACCAUGGGAGUGGGUUGCACCAGAAGUAGAUAGCUUAACCUUCGGGAGGGCGUUUACCACGGUGUGGUUCAUGACUGGGGUGAAGUCGUAACAAGGUAACCA